AUAGAGAUGCCCUCUCUCCCCACUCCCAUUCAGCAUAGCUUUGAGGGUGUUCUUUGCUCUUGGGUUUCUAAUUCUUUUAAUUGUGAUGUUGGGUAGUUAACUUGAGAUCUCAAUUUUGUUUUUGAGAUGGAGUGUUGUUCUCUCAACCAGGCUGGAGUGCAGUGGUGUGAUAUGGGCUCACUGCAACAUUUAUCUCCUGGGUUCAAGCAGUUCUCCUGCCUCAGCCUCCUGAGUACCUGGGAUUACAGAUGAAGAAGAUGAGACUCAGAGCAAUACAUAAGUUGCCCAAGGUCAGAGAGCAAUGACCAUAUCAGAGCACAGUGUACUCCUCUUGCCGUAUUCAGAGGAUUUGCCUAUGGGCAGCAACAUUAUUCUCUCGUUCUCUGGAUAUUAGGAACAAUAUCACAGGACCGGCGGACAGCCCCAGUCAUAU
Callithrix jacchus (white-tufted-ear marmoset) is the source of this 433-nucleotide non-coding RNA. The record is from RefSeq and is a predicted model, not a curated record. Lineage: Eukaryota; Metazoa; Chordata; Mammalia; Primates; Cebidae.